GACGAACGCUGGCGGCGUGCUUAACACAUGCAAGUCGAACGGAAAGGCCCUGCUUUUGUGGGGUGCUCGAGUGGCGAACGGGUGAGUAACACGUGAGUAACCUGCCCUUGACUUUGGGAUAACUUCAGGAAACUGGGGCUAAUACCGGAUAGGAGCUCCUGCUGCAUGGUGGGGGUUGGAAAGUUUCGGCGGUUGGGGAUGGACUCGCGGCUUAUCAGCUUGUGGGUGGGGUAGUGGCUUACCAAGGCUUUGACGGGUAGCCGGCCUGAGAGGGUGACCGGCCACAUUGGGCCUGAGAUACGGCCCAGACUCCUACGGGAGGCAGCAGUGGGGAAUAUUGCACAAUGGGCGGAAGCCUGAUGCAGCAACGCCGCGUGCGGGAUGACGGCCUUCGGGUUGUAAACCGCUUUCGCCUGUGACGAAGCGUGAGUGACGGUAAUGGGUAAAGAAGCACCGGCUAACUACGUG
RNAcentral lists this ribosomal RNA (468 nucleotides) under uncultured bacterium. RNAcentral's name for it is "partial 16S ribosomal RNA". It matches the Rfam family "Bacterial small subunit ribosomal RNA", at positions 28 to 507 of the family's 1533-position model. The record is from RNAcentral.